Molecule: ribosomal RNA, 77 nt
Filed under: Citrobacter freundii
Lineage: Bacteria; Pseudomonadati; Pseudomonadota; Gammaproteobacteria; Enterobacterales; Enterobacteriaceae
Also listed under: 20 other names
Source: RNAcentral
CCGAACUCAGAAGUGAAACGCCGUAGCGCCGAUGGUAGUGUGGGGUCUCCCCAUGCGAGAGUAGGGAACUGCCAGGC